RNAcentral lists this ribosomal RNA (420 nucleotides) under uncultured bacterium. Its description in RNAcentral is "bacterial SSU rRNA". It matches the Rfam family "Bacterial small subunit ribosomal RNA", at positions 355 to 787 of the family's 1533-position model. The record is from RNAcentral.
UGGGGAAUAUUGGGCAAUGGGCGCAAGCCUGACCCAGCAACGCCGCGUGAAGGAAGAAGGCUUUCGGGUUGUAAACUUCUUUUAUCAGGGACGAAGCAAGUGACGGUACCUGAUGAAUAAGCCACGGCUAACUACGUGCCAGCAGCCGCGGUAAUACGUAGGUGGCGAGCGUUAUCCGGAUUUACUGGGUGUAAAGGGCGUGUAGGCGGGCUUGCAAGUCAGAUGUGAAAUUCCAGGGCUCAACCCUGGAACUGCAUUUGAAACUGUAGGUCUUGAGUGCUGGAGAGGCGAUCGGAAUUCCGUGUGUAGCGGUGAAAUGCGUAGAUAUGACGGAGGAACACCGAGUGGCGAAGGCGGAUUGCUGGACAGUAACUGACGCUGAGGCGCGAAAGCGUGGGGAGCAAACAGGAUUAGAUACCC